This 2206-nucleotide ribosomal RNA is filed under the name Escherichia coli. Its description in RNAcentral is "partial 23S ribosomal RNA". It matches the Rfam family "Bacterial large subunit ribosomal RNA", at positions 609 to 2798 of the family's 2925-position model. Lineage: Bacteria; Pseudomonadati; Pseudomonadota; Gammaproteobacteria; Enterobacterales; Enterobacteriaceae. The record is from RNAcentral.
UGUAUAAUGGGUCAGCGACUUAUAUUCUGUAGCAAGGUUAACCGAAUAGGGGAGCCGAAGGGAAACCGAGUCUUAACUGGGCGUUAAGUUGCAGGGUAUAGACCCGAAACCCGGUGAUCUAGCCAUGGGCAGGUUGAAGGUUGGGUAACACUAACUGGAGGACCGAACCGACUAAUGUUGAAAAAUUAGCGGAUGACUUGUGGCUGGGGGUGAAAGGCCAAUCAAACCGGGAGAUAGCUGGUUCUCCCCGAAAGCUAUUUAGGUAGCGCCUCGUGAAUUCAUCUCCGGGGGUAGAGCACUGUUUCGGCAAGGGGGUCAUCCCGACUUACCAACCCGAUGCAAACUGCGAAUACCGGAGAAUGUUAUCACGGGAGACACACGGCGGGUGCUAACGUCCGUCGUGAAGAGGGAAACAACCCAGACCGCCAGCUAAGGUCCCAAAGUCAUGGUUAAGUGGGAAACGAUGUGGGAAGGCCCAGACAGCCAGGAUGUUGGCUUAGAAGCAGCCAUCAUUUAAAGAAAGCGUAAUAGCUCACUGGUCGAGUCGGCCUGCGCGGAAGAUGUAACGGGGCUAAACCAUGCACCGAAGCUGCGGCAGCGACGCUUAUGCGUUGUUGGGUAGGGGAGCGUUCUGUAAGCCUGCGAAGGUGUACUGUGAGGUAUGCUGGAGGUAUCAGAAGUGCGAAUGCUGACAUAAGUAACGAUAAAGCGGGUGAAAAGCCCGCUCGCCGGAAGACCAAGGGUUCCUGUCCAACGUUAAUCGGGGCAGGGUGAGUCGACCCCUAAGGCGAGGCCGAAAGGCGUAGUCGAUGGGAAACAGGUUAAUAUUCCUGUACUUGGUGUUACUGCGAAGGGGGGACGGAGAAGGCUAUGUUGGCCGGGCGACGGUUGUCCCGGUUUAAGCGUGUAGGCUGGUUUUCCAGGCAAAUCCGGAAAAUCAAGGCUGAGGCGUGAUGACGAGGCACUACGGUGCUGAAGCAACAAAUGCCCUGCUUCCAGGAAAAGCCUCUAAGCAUCAGGUAACAUCAAAUCGUACCCCAAACCGACACAGGUGGUCAGGUAGAGAAUACCAAGGCGCUUGAGAGAACUCGGGUGAAGGAACUAGGCAAAAUGGUGCCGUAACUUCGGGAGAAGGCACGCUGAUACGUAGGUGAAGUCCCUUGCGGAUGGAGCUGAAAUCAGUCGAAGAUACCAGCUGGCUGCAACUGUUUAUUAAAAACACAGCACUGUGCAAACACGAAAGUGGACGUAUACGGUGUGACGCCUGCCCGGUGCCGGAAGGUUAAUUGAUGGGGUUAGCGGUAACGCGAAGCUCUUGAUCGAAGCCCCGGUAAACGGCGGCCGUAACUAUAACGGUCCUAAGGUAGCGAAAUUCCUUGUCGGGUAAGUUCCGACCUGCACGAAUGGCGUAAUGAUGGCCAGGCUGUCUCCACCCGAGACUCAGUGAAAUUGAACUCGCUGUGAAGAUGCAGUGUACCCGCGGCAAGACGGAAAGACCCCGUGAACCUUUACUAUAGCUUGACACUGAACAUUGAGCCUUGAUGUGUAGGAUAGGUGGGAGGCUUUGAAGUGUGGACGCCAGUCUGCAUGGAGCCGACCUUGAAAUACCACCCUUUAAUGUUUGAUGUUCUAACGUUGGCCCCUGAUCGGGGUUGCGGACAGUGUCUGGUGGGUAGUUUGACUGGGGCGGUCUCCUCCUAAAGAGUAACGGAGGAGCACGAAGGUUGGCUAAUCCUGGUCGGACAUCAGGAGGUUAGUGCAAUGGCAUAAGCCAGCUUGACUGCGAGCGUGACGGCGCGAGCAGGUGCGAAAGCAGGUCAUAGUGAUCCGGUGGUUCUGAAUGGAAGGGCCAUCGCUCAACGGAUAAAAGGUACUCCGGGGAUAACAGGCUGAUACCGCCCAAGAGUUCAUAUCGACGGCGGUGUUUGGCACCUCGAUGUCGGCUCAUCACAUCCUGGGGCUGAAGUAGGUCCCAAGGGUAUGGCUGUUCGCCAUUUAAAGUGGUACGCGAGCUGGGUUUAGAACGUCGUGAGACAGUUCGGUCCCUAUCUGCCGUGGGCGCUGGAGAACUGAGGGGGGCUGCUCCUAGUACGAGAGGACCGGAGUGGACGCAUCACUGGUGUUCGGGUUGUCAUGCCAAUGGCACUGCCCGGUAGCUAAAUGCGGAAGAGAUAAGUGCUGAAAGCAUCUAAGCACGAAACUUGCC